This 497-nucleotide ribosomal RNA is filed under the name uncultured bacterium. RNAcentral describes it as "partial 16S ribosomal RNA". It matches the Rfam family "Bacterial small subunit ribosomal RNA", at positions 28 to 507 of the family's 1533-position model. The record is from RNAcentral.
GAUGAACGCUGGCGGCGUGCCUAAUACAUGCAAGUCGAGCGAACAGACGAGGAGCUUGCUCCUCUGACGUUAGCGGCGGACGGGUGAGUAACACGUGGAUAACCUACCUAUAAGACUGGGAUAACUUCGGGAAACCGGAGCUAAUACCGGAUCAUAUAUUGAACCGCAUGGUUCAAUAGUGAAAGACGGUUUUGCUGUCACUUAUAGAUGGAUCCGCGCCGCAUUAGCUAGUUGGUAAGGUAACGGCUUACCAAGGCAACGAUGCGUAGCCGACCUGAGAGGGUGAUCGGCCACACUGGAACUGAGACACGGUCCAGACUCCUACGGGAGGCAGCAGUAGGGAAUCUUCCGCAAUGGGCGAAAGCCUGACGGAGCAACGCCGCGUGAGUGAUGAAGGUCUUCGGAUCGUAAAACUCUGUUAUUAGGGAAGAACAAAUGUGUAAGUAACUAUGCACGUCUUGACGGUACCUAAUCAGAAAGCCACGGCUAACUACGUG